This 223-nucleotide long non-coding RNA is filed under the name Elaeis guineensis (African oil palm). Its description in RNAcentral is "long non-coding RNA (EGUI_LNC048725)". The record is from RNAcentral. Lineage: Eukaryota; Viridiplantae; Streptophyta; Magnoliopsida; Arecales; Arecaceae.
AGGCCGUGAUAUAACAUAAAUAUCAUUGUUCAACUAUCCACGCAUUAUAGUAACAUCAUUCAAAAUGAUAUCACAAAAGCUUUUCUUCAUUAAAAUUUUAUAAUUUGCUUUGGCCAAAAGGCCUACAGAAAUGACAUUCAAUAAGAAAUUAGGACAGAAAUAACAAUCACUAAGAACAAUAGAAUGAGCAUUAAAUACAAGCUUGAUAAUUCCUAAAGCUAGA